This 237-nucleotide ribosomal RNA is filed under the name uncultured bacterium. RNAcentral's name for it is "partial 16S ribosomal RNA". It matches the Rfam family "Bacterial small subunit ribosomal RNA", at positions 105 to 334 of the family's 1533-position model. The record is from RNAcentral.
CGGCACGGUGAGUAACACGUAUCCAACCUGCCGUCUACCCUUGGCCAGCCUUCUGAAAGGAAGAUUAAUCCAGGAUGGCAUCAUGAGUUCACAUGUCCGCAUGAUUAAAGGUAUUUUCCGGUAGACGAUGGGGAUGCGUUCCAUUAGAUAGUAGGCGGGGUAACGGCCCACCUAGUCUUCGAUGGAUAGGGGUUCUGAGAGGAAGGUCCCCCACAUUGGAACUGAGACACGGUCCAA